Molecule: transfer RNA, 77 nt
Filed under: Wohlfahrtiimonas chitiniclastica
Lineage: Bacteria; Pseudomonadati; Pseudomonadota; Gammaproteobacteria; Cardiobacteriales; Ignatzschineriaceae
Also listed under: 1 other name
Description: tRNA-Arg
Rfam family: tRNA
About the family: Transfer RNA (tRNA) molecules are approximately 80 nucleotides in length. Their secondary structure includes four short double-helical elements and three loops (D, anti-codon, and T loops). Further hydrogen bonds mediate the characteristic L-shaped molecular structure. tRNAs have two regions of fundamental functional importance: the anti-codon, which is responsible for specific mRNA codon recognition, and the 3' end, to which the tRNAs corresponding amino acid is attached (by aminoacyl-tRNA synthetases). tRNAs cope with the degeneracy of the genetic code in two manners: having more than one tRNA (with a specific anti-codon) for a particular amino acid; and 'wobble' base-pairing, i.e. permitting non-standard base-pairing at the 3rd anti-codon position.
Source: RNAcentral
GCGCUCGUAGCUCAGUUGGAUAGAGUGUCAGUUUCCGAAACUGAAGGUCAGAGGUUCGAUCCCUCUCGGGCGCGCCA